AUUUUUUAUUGUAUACUAUACACUGUAAAUAGUAUUAUAUAGAAAUUCUGGAUUCUACUACUUUUCUUUGAAAAGUGUUGACUUGCUUUAAUAUACAGUUAAUUUAUAGGGUGGAUCAUGUUGAUUCUGUCUAGUCUUUCUUUUAGGAUUCAUUAGUGUGAGUUCCUAGUGAGAACAUAGCCAUUAACCUGGCAUGUGGUUAUUAAUACAUGGCCUUUCUAGGAUUUCAUUGGAAAUCCUGAAUGAAAGCUGAUGAAACAAAACAAGAUUAAGUCCUUAACAAGGGCAGUGGCAGUAGGAAGGAAGGUAGUAGGCAAAUGUUUGAUAGGUCUUGGGGGAUACUGUAUGUGAGGGGUAAAAACAGGGAAGGAUAUGGGAUAGAAAAUUAAAAAGUGGAAGCAGGUUUUUUAGGGAAAAGAGGAAGAAGAGGAGGAGGCCAGUUUUGGACAGAUUUAUGCUGAGGGAUCAAUGGGAAGCUAGGUGGCAAUGUCUAGAAGGAAAUAUAUAUGAAUGUGCAUAUCAAAAGAGUAGUUUGAAUUAAAAUAUAGAUUUGGAAGUUAUUAGUAAAUUGAAGAUCAUUAAAGGCACAGAAAUGCAUAAGGUCAUCUAUUAAGGAGAUGGCUUCUUAAAAUGUGACCUAGGGACUACUUGCAGCAGAAUUACCUCCUUGUUAAGAACAGAUUCCUUGGAUCCAGCACAAUGCAAGGAAAUUACAAUUUUGGGGUAUGAGGCCAGGGAACUGCAUUUUAAAAACUCCUCAAGUUAUUCUUUUGUACAGUAAAAUUUGAGAUCCCCUGGUAAAGAAUGAUAAGAGAAAAGAUUAAUGCACAGAACGCUGAAGAAAACCAAAUGCCUUAAAUAUGUCAAGUAGGCUGGUGGCCGAGAAGUGCUCUUCCAAUUUAGUUAAGUCAAAGCAAAGUAGAAAUAGACUGAAUGGGCAGAUGACAAGCAGAUUUGUCUGAAUGCCAGGUAAGAAGACUGGAGUUAAUUGGAUAUGUUCAUACAAGGGCUUGGGCUUGGAAUAAGAAAGUUCUAUAAUGGAUUCUGAGCAACUGGUAUAGCUGCUGGGAAUGGGAAGAACUUACUCAUCACCACCUGAAUAAGUCUGCCUCCUGGGGCUUUUCCUCUAAGUGGAUUCUGCUAUGCCAUUUUUAGUCAUUAACAUUUUAGCUGAAAUUACUCCCUC
Molecule: long non-coding RNA, 1186 nt
Filed under: Callithrix jacchus (white-tufted-ear marmoset)
Lineage: Eukaryota; Metazoa; Chordata; Mammalia; Primates; Cebidae
Description: lncRNA (ENSCJAG00000080913.1)
Source: RNAcentral